GUGGGGAAUAUUGGACAAUGGGGGGAACCCUGAUCCAGCCAUGCCGCGUGUGUGAAGAAGGCCUUUUGGUUGCAAAGCACUUUAAGCGAGGAGGAGGCUACCGAGAUUAAUACUCUUGGAUAGUGGACGUUACUCGCAGAAUAAGCACCGGCUAACUCUGUGCCAGCAGCCGCGGUAAUACAGAGGGUGCAAGCGUUAAUCGGAUUUACUGGGCGUAAAGCGCGCGUAGGUGGCCAAUUAAGUCAAAUGUGAAAUCCCCGAGCUUAACUUGGGAAUUGCAUUCGAUACUGGUUGGCUAGAGUAUGGGAGAGGAUGGUAGAAUUCCAGGUGUAGCGGUGAAAUGCGUAGAGAUCUGGAGGAAUACCGAUGGCGAAGGCAGCCAUCUGGCCUAAUACUGACACUGAGGUGCGAAAGCAUGGGGAGCAAACAGGAUUAGAUACCCUAGUAGUCC
This 451-nucleotide ribosomal RNA is filed under the name uncultured bacterium. RNAcentral describes it as "partial 16S ribosomal RNA". It matches the Rfam family "Bacterial small subunit ribosomal RNA", at positions 354 to 796 of the family's 1533-position model. The record is from RNAcentral.